This 447-nucleotide ribosomal RNA is filed under the name uncultured bacterium. RNAcentral's name for it is "partial 16S ribosomal RNA". It matches the Rfam family "Bacterial small subunit ribosomal RNA", at positions 329 to 792 of the family's 1533-position model. The record is from RNAcentral.
UGCCAGACUCCUACGGGAGGCAGCAGUGGGGGAUAUUGCACAAUGGGGGAAACCCUGAUGCAGCGACGCCGCGUGAGUGAAGAAGUAUUUCGGUAUGUAAAGCUCUAUCAGCAGGGAAGAAAAAAGACGGUACCUGACUAAGAAGCUCCGGCUAAAUACGUACCAGCAGCCGCGGUAAUACGUAUGGAGCAAGCGUUAUCCGGAUUUACUGGGUGUAAAGGGAGCGCAGGCGGCCUUGCAAGUCUGAUGUGAAAGGCCGGGGCCCAACCCCGGGACUGCAUUGGAAACUGCGAGGCUGGAGUGUCGGAGAGGCAGGCGGAAUUCCUAGUGUAGCGGUGAAAUGCGUAGAUAUUAGGAGGAACACCAGUGGCGAAGGCGGCCUGCUGGACGAUGACUGACGCUGAGGCUCGAAAGCGUGGGGAGCAAACAGGAUUAGAUACCCUCGUA